UACGAGGGGGGCAAAUGUUGUUCGGAAUCACUGGGCGUAAAGGGAGCGUAGGCGGGUUUCUAAGUCAGGUGUUUAAUCCCGGGGCCCAACCCCGGACAGGCACUUGAAACUGGGAAUCUUGAAUAGUGGAGAGGUCAGUGGAAUUGGGGGUGUAGCGGUGGAAUGCGUAGAGAUCCCCAAGAACACCGGUUGCGAAGGCGGCUGACUGGACACAUAUUGACGCUGAGGCUCGAAAGCAUGGGGAGCAAACAGG
This 253-nucleotide ribosomal RNA is filed under the name uncultured bacterium. RNAcentral's name for it is "partial 16S ribosomal RNA". It matches the Rfam family "Bacterial small subunit ribosomal RNA", at positions 524 to 776 of the family's 1533-position model. The record is from RNAcentral.